Molecule: ribosomal RNA, 441 nt
Filed under: uncultured bacterium
Lineage: Bacteria
Description: partial 16S ribosomal RNA
Rfam family: Bacterial small subunit ribosomal RNA
Source: RNAcentral
CCUACGGGAGGCAGCAGUGGGGGAUAUUGCACAAUGGGGGAAACCCUGAUGCAGCGACGCCGCGUGGGUGAAGAAGUAUUUCGGUUUGUAAAGCCCUAUCAGCAGGGAAGAAGAAAUGACGGUACCUGAGUUAGAAGCACCGGCUAAAUACGUGCCAGCAGCCGCGGUAAUAUGCAGGGUCCAAGCGUUAUCCGGAUUUACUGGGUGUAAGGGAGCGCAGGUGGCACGGCAAGCGUGAGGUGAAAGCGCGCGGCCCAACAGCGGGACUGCAUUGGGAACUACCGGGCUGGAGUGCCGGAGAGGUAGGCGGAAUUCCUAGUGUAGCGGUGAAAUGCGUAGAUAUUAGGAGGAACACCAGUGGCGAAGGCGGCCUACUGGACGGUGACUGACGCUGAGGCUCGAAAGCGUGGGGAGCAAACAGGAUUAGAUACCCCGGUAGUC